This 71-nucleotide transfer RNA is filed under the name Myxococcales bacterium. RNAcentral's name for it is "tRNA-Gln". It matches the Rfam family "tRNA". Rfam says of the family: Transfer RNA (tRNA) molecules are approximately 80 nucleotides in length. Their secondary structure includes four short double-helical elements and three loops (D, anti-codon, and T loops). The record is from RNAcentral. Lineage: Bacteria; Pseudomonadati; Myxococcota; Myxococcia; Myxococcales.
UGGGGCGUCGUCUAAGGGUAGGACAUCAGACUUUGACUCUGAGUAUCGUGGUUCAAAUCCACGCGCCCCAG